This is a non-coding RNA of Sphingomonas hengshuiensis, 46 nucleotides long. Lineage: Bacteria; Pseudomonadati; Pseudomonadota; Alphaproteobacteria; Sphingomonadales; Sphingomonadaceae. The record is from Rfam.
AAAUAGGCGGCCUUCGCCGCCACCCACAGGUUGAGAUGCUUAGUCU